GGCGGGGUAGCUCAGUUGGUUAGAGCGUGGGACUCAUAAGCCCAAGGUCGUCGGUUCGAUCCCGACCCCCGCUACCA
This 77-nucleotide transfer RNA is filed under the name Verrucomicrobiota bacterium. RNAcentral's name for it is "tRNA-Met". It matches the Rfam family "tRNA". From Rfam's summary of the family: Transfer RNA (tRNA) molecules are approximately 80 nucleotides in length. Their secondary structure includes four short double-helical elements and three loops (D, anti-codon, and T loops). Lineage: Bacteria; Pseudomonadati; Verrucomicrobiota. The record is from RNAcentral.